AGAGUUUGAUCCUGGCUCAGAUUGAACGCUGGCGGCAUGCUUUACACAUGCAAGUCGAACGGCAGCACGGGGCAACCUGGUGGCGAGUGGCGAACGGGUGAGUAAUAUAUCGGAACGUACCCAGAAGUGGGGGAUAACGUAGCGAAAGUUACGCUAAUACCGCAUACGAUCUACGGAUGAAAGUGGGGGACCUUCGGGCCUCAUGCUUUUGGAGCGGCCGAUAUCUGAUUAGCUAGUUGGUGAGGUAAAGGCUCACCAAGGCGACGAUCAGUAGCUGGUCUGAGAGGACGACCAGCCACACUGGGACUGAGACACGGCCCAGACUCCUACGGGAGGCAGCAGUGGGGAAUUUUGGACAAUGGGCGCAAGCCUGAUCCAGCAAUGCCGCGUGAGUGAAGAAGGCCUUCGGGUUGUAAAGCUCUUUUGUCAGGGAAGAAACGGCCUGGGUUAAUACCUUGGGCUAAUGACGGUACCUGAAGAAUAAGCACCGGCUAACUACGUG
Molecule: ribosomal RNA, 502 nt
Filed under: uncultured Massilia sp.
Lineage: Bacteria; Pseudomonadati; Pseudomonadota; Betaproteobacteria; Burkholderiales; Oxalobacteraceae
Description: bacterial SSU rRNA
Rfam family: Bacterial small subunit ribosomal RNA
Source: RNAcentral